This 521-nucleotide ribosomal RNA is filed under the name uncultured bacterium. RNAcentral describes it as "bacterial SSU rRNA". It matches the Rfam family "Bacterial small subunit ribosomal RNA", at positions 8 to 524 of the family's 1533-position model. The record is from RNAcentral.
AGAGUUUGAUCAUGGCUCAGAUUGAACGCUGGCGGAAUGCUUUACACAUGCAAGUCGAACGGCAGCACGGACUUCGGUCUGGUGGCGAGUGGCGAACGGGUGAGUAAUAUAUCGGAACGUGCCCAGUCGUGGGGGAUAACGUAGUGAAAAUUACGCUAAUACCGCAUACGAUCUAUGGAUGAAAGCGGGGGAUCGCAAGACCUCGCGCGAUUGGAGCGGCCGAUAUCAGAUUAGGUAGUUGGUGAGGUAAAGGCUCACCAAGCCAACGAUCUGUAGCUGGUCUGAGAGGACGACCAGCCACACUGGAACUGAGACACGGUCCAGACUCCUACGGGAGGCAGCAGUGGGGAAUUUUGGACAAUGGACGCAAGUCUGAUCCAGCCAUUCCGCGUGCAGGACGAAGGCCUUCGGGUUGUAAACUGCUUUUGUACAGAACGAAAAGCUCUGGGUUAAUACCCUGGGGUCAUGACGGUACUGUAAGAAUAAGCACCGGCUAACUACGUGCCAGCAGCCGCGGUAAU